CACGACUGUGGAGCGAUUGGACA
RNAcentral lists this non-coding RNA (23 nucleotides) under Arabidopsis thaliana (thale cress). Lineage: Eukaryota; Viridiplantae; Streptophyta; Magnoliopsida; Brassicales; Brassicaceae. The record is from RNAcentral.